RNAcentral lists this ribosomal RNA (274 nucleotides) under uncultured bacterium. RNAcentral's name for it is "partial 16S ribosomal RNA". It matches the Rfam family "Bacterial small subunit ribosomal RNA", at positions 523 to 796 of the family's 1533-position model. The record is from RNAcentral.
AUACGGAGGGUGCAAGCGUUGUUCGGAUUUACUGGGCGUAAAGCGCACGUAGGCGGACUGUCAAGUCGGGUGUGAAAACCAGUGGCUUAACCACUGGCCUGCACUCGAAACUGGUAGUCUUGAGUACCAGAGAGGAUGGCGGAAUUCCUGGUGUAGCGGUGAAAUGCGUAGAUAUCAGGAAGAACACCGGCGGCGAAGGCGGCCAUCUGGACGGAUACUGACGCUCAGGUGCGAAGGCUAGGGGAGCGAACAGAAUUAGAAACCCUAGUAGUCC